This 554-nucleotide ribosomal RNA is filed under the name Stemphylium vesicarium. RNAcentral's name for it is "eukaryotic LSU rRNA". The stretch from base 192 to 345 matches the Rfam family "5.8S ribosomal RNA". Lineage: Eukaryota; Fungi; Ascomycota; Dothideomycetes; Pleosporales; Pleosporaceae. The record is from RNAcentral.
UGCGGAGGGAUCAUUACACAAUAUGAAAGCGGGUUGGGACCUCACCUCGGUGAGGGCUCCAGCUUGUCUGAAUUAUUCACCCAUGUCUUUUGCGCACUUCUUGUUUCCUGGGCGGGUUCGCCCGCCACCAGGACCAAACCAUAAACCUUUUUGUAAUUGCAAUCAGCGUCAGUAAACAAUGUAAUUAUUACAACUUUCAACAACGGAUCUCUUGGUUCUGGCAUCGAUGAAGAACGCAGCGAAAUGCGAUACGUAGUGUGAAUUGCAGAAUUCAGUGAAUCAUCGAAUCUUUGAACGCACAUUGCGCCCUUUGGUAUUCCAAAGGGCAUGCCUGUUCGAGCGUCAUUUGUACCCUCAAGCUUUGCUUGGUGUUGGGCGUCUUUGUCUCUCACGAGACUCGCCUUAAAAUGAUUGGCAGCCGACCUACUGGUUUCGGAGCGCAGCACAAUUCUUGCACUUUGAAUCAGCCUUGGUUGAGCAUCCAUCAAGACCACAUUUUUUUCAACUUUUGACCUCGGAUCAGGUAGGGAUACCCGCUGAACUUAAGCAUAUCA